Molecule: ribosomal RNA, 566 nt
Filed under: uncultured Acidimicrobiia bacterium
Lineage: Bacteria; Bacillati; Actinomycetota; Acidimicrobiia
Description: bacterial SSU rRNA
Rfam family: Bacterial small subunit ribosomal RNA
Source: RNAcentral
CCUACGGGAGGCAGCAGUGGGGAAUCUUGCGCAAUGGGCGAAAGCCUGACGCAGCGACGCCGCGUGCGGGAUGAAGGCCUUCGGGUUGUAAACCGCUUUCAGCAGGGACGAUUGUGACGGUACCUGCAGAAGAAGCCCCGGCCAACUACGUGCCAGCAGCCGCGGUAAUACGUAGGGGGCAAGCGUUGUCCGGAUUUAUUGGGCGUAAAGAGCUCGUAGGCGGUUUGGUAAGUCGGGUGUGAAAUCUCCACGCUCAACGUGGAGGGGCCACCCGAUACUGCCAUGACUGGAGUCCGGUAGAGGAGUGCGGAAUUCCCGGUGUAGCGGUGAAAUGCGCAGAUAUCGGGAGGAACACCCGUAGCGAAGGCGGCACUCUGGGCCGGUACUGACGCUGAGGAGCGAAAGCGUGGGGAGCAAACAGGAUUAGAUACCCUGGUAGUCCACGCCGUAAACGUUGGGCACUGGGUGUGGGGCUCUAUCGACGGGUUCCGUGCCGCAGCUAACGCAUUAAGUGCCCCGCCUGGGGAGUACGGCCGCAAGGCUAAAACUCAAAUGAAUUGACGGGG